UAGUGAGUUUGAUCCUGGCUCAGAGCGAACGCUGGCGGCAGGCUUAACACAUGCAAGUCGAACGCAUCCUUCGGGGUGAGUGGCAGACGGGUGAGUAACACGUGGGAACGUGCCCUCCGGUCUGGGAUAACCCUGGGAAACUAGGGCUAAUACCGGAUACGUGCUAUGGCAGAAAGGUUUACUGCCGGAGGAUCGGCCCGCGUCUGAUUAGCUAGUUGGUGGGGUAACGGCCUACCAAGGCGACGAUCAGUAGCUGGUCUGAGAGGAUGAUCAGCCACACUGGGGACUGAGACACGGCCCAGACUCCUACGGGGAGGCAGCAGUGGGGAAUUUUCCGCAAUGGGCGAAAGCCUGACGGAGCAAGACCGCGUGAGGGGAGGAAGGCUCUUGGGGUUGUAAACCCGUCUUUUAGUCAGGGGUAAGAAGAAAGUGACGGUACCUGAAGAAUCAGCAUCGG
This 457-nucleotide ribosomal RNA is filed under the name uncultured Methylobacterium sp. Its description in RNAcentral is "bacterial SSU rRNA". It matches the Rfam family "Bacterial small subunit ribosomal RNA", at positions 1 to 496 of the family's 1533-position model. Lineage: Bacteria; Pseudomonadati; Pseudomonadota; Alphaproteobacteria; Hyphomicrobiales; Methylobacteriaceae. The record is from RNAcentral.